AGUAGCAUUCUUGCAGAUGUGUACUGCUGUUUUAAGUUUCUCCUUCCCCUAUUCAAGCUUUUGCUUGUAAUAUUUUAAGUUUCCAGAGUAUGACUUUGUAACAGUUGUAUAACAGCAUCCGUCAGAGAGGAAAUGAAGGCAUGGAUACCAAGUGUGUUAUAUAUUCACCAUCAGAAAACAACCAAAAUUGUUGCUCCUCUCCCUCUUCCUCUUCUUCUGCCGGGAUGGUUCUUGCUGACAUUGGU
RNAcentral lists this unclassified non-coding RNA (245 nucleotides) under Hevea brasiliensis (rubber tree). Lineage: Eukaryota; Viridiplantae; Streptophyta; Magnoliopsida; Malpighiales; Euphorbiaceae. The record is from RNAcentral.